Pelobates cultripes (western spadefoot toad) is the source of this 305-nucleotide non-coding RNA. Lineage: Eukaryota; Metazoa; Chordata; Amphibia; Anura; Pelobatidae. The record is from the annotation of a GenBank genome assembly.
CUCUGGCAAGGGCAACUGGACCUAUUAUGGCCUCUAAACAACGGUGGUAUGUUGCCAGUUAUUAUUCUCUUCAUUCCAACUAAAGGACCUUCACAUCCAGUUGCUGGCCCAUAAUGAUGGAAACUUGGGCAUAUCUCUGCUGAUUUUGUUCUUUUGUGUUUAUUUUUUUUUUAUUUAGUUAAUUUUAGUCUCUAAUACUACGCUCCAGGCUUACACCUUACCCAGAAGGGUGCGCAAGAUAUCGACUUCCCCCAACACACACACACUUGAUAAUAAGUCAAAUGAUGUUUAUCACUAUGGUGCCU